CUUUUAUCGAGAGUGUGGAGUAGGGAAUUGGCCCGAUGAUACCACCAGCAACCACCUUUGGAGAGGACAGGUGCUAAAUCCAAACCCCUAUGGGGAAGAUGAAUG
Molecule: non-coding RNA, 105 nt
Filed under: Candidatus Lloydiibacteriota
Lineage: Bacteria
Description: Candidatus Lloydbacteria SAM-I sequence
Rfam family: SAM riboswitch aptamer (S box leader)
About the family: The SAM riboswitch is found upstream of a number of genes which code for proteins involved in methionine or cysteine biosynthesis in Gram-positive bacteria. The SAM riboswitch acts at the level of transcription termination control.
Source: RNAcentral